This 445-nucleotide ribosomal RNA is filed under the name uncultured bacterium. RNAcentral describes it as "partial 16S ribosomal RNA". It matches the Rfam family "Bacterial small subunit ribosomal RNA", at positions 354 to 796 of the family's 1533-position model. The record is from RNAcentral.
GUGAGGAAUAUUGCGCAAUGGAGGCAACUCUGACGCAGCCAUGCCGCGUGCAGGAAGAAGGCGCUACGCGUUGUAAACUGCUUUUAACCGGGAAGAAACCCCAGGACGUGUCCUGGGUUGACGGUACCGGAGGAAUAAGCACCGGCUAACUUCGUGCCAGCAGCCGCGGUAAUACGAAGGGUGCAAGCGUUAUCCGGAUUCAUUGGGUUUAAAGGGUGCGUAGGCGGAGCGUUAAGUCAGUGGUGAAAUCCUGCAGCUUAACUGUAGACUUGCCAUUGAUACUGGCGCUCUUGAGUGCGCUUGAAGUGGGCGGAAUGUGCCGUGUAGCGGUGAAAUGCUUAGAUAUGGCACAGAACACCAAUUGCGAAGGCAGCUCACUAAGACGAUACUGACGCUGAGGCACGAAAGCGUGGGGAUCGAACAGGAUUAGAAACCCCGGUAGUCC